GGGAGAAAGCCCACAAGUGAUGCAAGAGAAGCCAGUCCCUAAGCUGUAGGGGUCCCUGAAGUGACUAGUGCUAAAAUAACUGAAUUUGAAGAUAUUACUGUGAGAGAUCCCUUGCUGAAACAAAUGAAAGGGAGACCUACCCCACGAGGGUCCUGGACAGAUGGCUAGCAGGAAGGAAGUGGUGAGAAAUAGGAAGGAGAAGGAACCUUCUCACGGAGAUGCUUGCCAUCAGGAGCUGGGUGCAAAGGUUUGUUUUAGGAGGCUGAUGGGUUUAUUACGGAAUGCUGAAGAAUCUAUGAUGAAAGCUGGAGAGUUUAUAUCAGAAGGCUGAAGAGUGCCAGG
This is a long non-coding RNA of Chinchilla lanigera (long-tailed chinchilla), 342 nucleotides long. RefSeq lists it as uncharacterized. The transcript is spliced from 3 exons. NCBI's taxonomy places the organism in Eukaryota, Metazoa, Chordata, Mammalia, Rodentia, Chinchillidae. The record is from RefSeq and is a predicted model, not a curated record.